Molecule: long non-coding RNA, 774 nt
Organism: Triticum dicoccoides
Lineage: Eukaryota; Viridiplantae; Streptophyta; Magnoliopsida; Poales; Poaceae
Exons: 5
Source: RefSeq, a predicted model, not a curated record
AAACGGGCAAGCUAAUUCAGUACGCGCGCAGGAGCGAGCUGCAGCCCUUGCAUCUACAGGAUCAGCAACAUUGGAUGUGGUGGAUCUGCUCACGGUCUCACAUGUUUAACAGGAAGGGUUGUGAUUGUAAAAGACGAUGUGGUAGAAAUUAUGGAUAUCAAUAAUCAAAAUAAUUAUCCAGAGGAAUCUGGGCACCAUAGCGAUUCAUCGUUAUAUUAUAUGACGAGACCAGGGGGCAAUAAUAUUGAUAAGGUUAGAAACCUACCUGAUGGCCACAACCCUCUGGAGAUGUGGUUCGCUCGUGAGCCCAACAAGUCCAUCCCGUGCUCACUGCACCUAACAAACAACAUAGAUCAGAAUGUGGCAUUCAGGCUUAUAGAAAAGAGUGGGACAUCAAUGGGCCACUUCAAGUAUGAGCAACUAUACGGUAUUGUGCCUCCCAGAUCCUCUUACACUUUGGUCAUGAAAAAGGAACAAGCAUCACUUGGUCUGGUUAUUCAGAGCAGUACAUCAGGGGAUAGGUACAAAAUGCUAUUCAAAGACCAAUCCAAGUGUGAUGAUUUCUUUUCUGAAGCGAAAGAGAUGGGAGAUUUGGUGCAUCAGGUGGCACUAAAAACUGUAUACAGUCCACUUCAAAUAGGGCUGACGACGUCUGAGAUCAUAUCCACAGAGGACAUCUCUAUUAGCACAUCCAUAGAUGGACAUCCAACGGAACCAUGGAUUAUAACCGGUCAUCGAGAUGGACGCGUUUUUUGGUGGAAGUACGACUCAAAG